Long non-coding RNA from Gallus gallus (chicken), 234 nucleotides. RefSeq lists it as uncharacterized. The transcript has 3 exons. The record is from RefSeq and is a predicted model, not a curated record. Lineage: Eukaryota; Metazoa; Chordata; Aves; Galliformes; Phasianidae.
GCUGUGAGAAGAGAUCGCCAAAAGAUGUUGGGGGAAGCACAGUGGACCAUGGCGUGUCCUCGUGUCCCUGCCCUCCUGCUGCUGGUGGUGGUUGGUACUGGUGUGAACACCCAGAACACCUGCAUCUCCAGGGCUGAUGGUACUCUCCAGGCUCCAGUCCUGUUCCUUAACGCAUCCAGUGCUCAGGAAGGAGAAGUUGUCUUGGCUCGAUGUGUCUUUCAGAAACAGUUUCCU